GCGCCCAUAGCUCAGCUGGAUAGAGUAUCGGACUACGAAUCCGAGGGCCGAAGGUUCGAAUCCUUCUGGGCGCGCCA
This 77-nucleotide transfer RNA is filed under the name Myxococcales bacterium. Its description in RNAcentral is "tRNA-Arg". It matches the Rfam family "tRNA". Rfam says of the family: Transfer RNA (tRNA) molecules are approximately 80 nucleotides in length. Their secondary structure includes four short double-helical elements and three loops (D, anti-codon, and T loops). The record is from RNAcentral. Lineage: Bacteria; Pseudomonadati; Myxococcota; Myxococcia; Myxococcales.